Molecule: unclassified non-coding RNA, 279 nt
Filed under: plant metagenome
Description: partial contains small subunit ribosomal RNA, internal transcribed spacer 1, and 5.8S ribosomal RNA
Source: RNAcentral
UUUCCGUAGGUGAACCUGCGGAAGGAUCAUUAUUGUAUAACCGUGUUGCGAGGGCUGCCGCUGAACCGAUAGGUCGCGCACGCACGAGUGCCUUCACAAACAUCUAUCCAGCCCCUAUGGGCACCACCGCGUGGGUCCCCCUUUGGCUUGCUCGGCGGGGGGCUUACGUUUUCACACAAUCUUUGUAUGUAGUGUAGAAUGUAUUUUUUGUUUUUGCGAUAACACAAUCUAUAAAACUUUAACCAUCGGUUCUCUCGGCUCUCGCAUAGACGAAGAACG